Molecule: microRNA precursor, 94 nt
Organism: Cercocebus atys (sooty mangabey)
Lineage: Eukaryota; Metazoa; Chordata; Mammalia; Primates; Cercopithecidae
Source: Ensembl
UGAGGCAGGAGAAUUGCUUGAACCCAGGAGGUGGAGGUUGCAGUGAGCCGAGAUCGUGCCACUGCACUCCAGCCUGGGUGACAGAGCGAGACUC